CCUACGGGAGGCAGCAGUGGGGAAUAUUGCACAAUGGGCGAAAGCCUGAUGCAGCGACGCCGCGUGAGGGAUGACGGCCUUCGGGUUGUAAACCUCUUUCAGUAGGGAAGAAGCGAAAGUGACGGUACCUGCAGAAGAAGCGCCGGCUAACUACGUGCCAGCAGCCGCGGUAAUACGUAGGGCGCAAGCGUUAUCCGGAAUUAUUGGGCGUAAAGAGCUCGUAGGCGGUUUGUCGCGUCUGCCGUGAAAGUCCGGGGCUCAACUCCGGAUCUGCGGUGGGUACGGGCAGACUAGAGUGAUGUAGGGGAGACUGGAAUUCCUGGUGUAGCGGUGAAAUGCGCAGAUAUCAGGAGGAACACCGAUGGCGAAGGCAGGUCUCUGGGCAUUAACUGACGCUGAGGAGCGAAAGCAUGGGGAGCGAACAGGAUUAGAUACCCUGGUAGUCCAUGCCGUAAACGUUGGGCACUAGGUGUGGGGGACAUUCCACGUUUUCCGCGCCGUAGCUAACGCAUUAAGUGCCCCGCCUGGGGAGACGCGCGAGACGAACACAAGAAGUAGACGCGUGAGACGUCGCCGACGACGACGACGAGGGAGGAGG
Molecule: ribosomal RNA, 598 nt
Filed under: uncultured bacterium
Lineage: Bacteria
Description: bacterial SSU rRNA
Rfam family: Bacterial small subunit ribosomal RNA (bases 1-525)
Source: RNAcentral